RNAcentral lists this ribosomal RNA (700 nucleotides) under uncultured bacterium. RNAcentral describes it as "bacterial SSU rRNA". It matches the Rfam family "Bacterial small subunit ribosomal RNA", at positions 94 to 827 of the family's 1533-position model. The record is from RNAcentral.
AGUGGCGGACGGGUGAGUAACGCGUAAGAAUCUAACUUCAGGACGGGGACAACAGUUGGAAACGACUGCUAAUACCCGAUGUGCCGCAAGGUGAAACCUAAUUGGCCUGGAGAAGAGCUUGCGUCUGAUUAGCUAGUUGGUGGGGUAAAGGCCUACCAAGGCGACGAUCAGUAGCUGGUCUGAGAGGAUGAGCAGCCACACUGGGACUGAGACACGGCCCAGACUCCUACGGGAGGCAGCAGUGGGGAAUUUUUCGCAAUGGGCGAAAGCCUGACGGAGCAACGCCGCGUGAGGGAGGAAGGUCUUUGGAUUGUAAACCUCUUUUCUCAAGGAAGAAGUUCUGACGGUACUUGAGGAAUCAGCCUCGGCUAACUCCGUGCCAGUUUUUUUCGGUAAUACGGGGGAGGCAAGCGUUAUCCGGAAUUAUUGGGCGUAAAGCGUCCGCAGGUGGUCAGCCAAGUCUGCCGUCAAAUCAGGUUGCUUAACGACCUAAAGGCGGUGGAAACUGGCAGACUAGAGAGCAGUAGGGGUAGCAGGAAUUCCCAGUGUAGCGGUGAAAUGCGUAGAGAUUGGGAAGAACAUCGGUGGCGAAAGCGUGCUACUGGGCUGUAUCUGACACUCAGGGACGAAAGCUAGGGGAGCGAAAGGGAUUAGAUACCCCUGUAGUCCUAGCCGUAAACGAUGGAUACUAGGCGUGGCU